This is a long non-coding RNA of Oncorhynchus tshawytscha (Chinook salmon), 1128 nucleotides long. NCBI's taxonomy places the organism in Eukaryota, Metazoa, Chordata, Actinopteri, Salmoniformes, Salmonidae. The record is from Ensembl.
AUCACAGUCAAUAUUACCGAGUGAGAAGCAGUCCAUGACCAAACAUGCAAUAAUAAAGGGACAGCAAAAGGCUUUGAUGUAGAUGGCAUAUACACUCUUAGACAAAAGGAUUCCAAAAGAGUUCUUUACUAAAGGAUAGUGUCACGCCCUGACCUUAGAGAGCCUUUUAUUUCUCUAUUUGGUUAGGUCGGGGUGUGAUUUGGGUGGGCAUUCUAGUUGUUCUAUUUCUUUUUUGGCCGGGUAUAGCUCCCAAUCAGAGGCAGCUGUCUAUCGUUGUCUCUGAUUGGGGAUAAUACUUAGGCAGCCUUUUUUCUACCUGUAGUUUGUGGGAUCUUGUUUGUGUGUAGUUGCUUUCUGCACUGCAUGUAGCUUUACAUUCGUUUUUUGUAAUUUUUUUUUUUUUUUCGGUAUUAUUUUAAUAAAAGUAAAAUGUACGCCUACCACGCUGGACCUUGGUCCAAUCCAUCUCUAAACAAUCGUGACAGAUAGGGUUCUGCCGAUAAACCUUUUCAUCUGAAGAGCCCUUUUUGGAAGACGAGGGUUCUUUGUAAGGCAAAGGGUUCUACCUAAAACCUUUUACCAUCCUUCUAAGAAAGGGUUCUAUGGUUCUAUAUAAAAUCUUUUUACCAUCCUUCUAAAGAAAGGGUUCUACCUAAAACCUUUUUACCAUCCUUUUCAGAAAGGGUUCUACCUAAAAACCUUUCUCCCAUCCUGUUCAGAAAGGGUUCUACCUAAAACCUUUUUACCAUCCUUCUAAGAAAGGGUUCUUUGAUGGUUCUUUGGAAGUCAAGAAGGGUUCUAGAUGAAUAAGCUUUUUUAUAGUAUCUUUUUAUUUCUAUUAAAUAGUGAAAUAAGACUUGAAAUGUCUAUAUUUUUAACUUUUGUGAGUGCAAUAUUUAAAGUUAAUUUCAAAUUGUUUUUUGUUGAUGUUGUUUUGCGUCUACUCACUUUUGUUUAUUGUUAAUUUAACUUAAUGUGGCUGUUUAAAUAAAGUCCCAUUGAAUUGAAUAGUGCCUGAGCAUUACUGUUUACCUAAAUAUCUAUAUCUAUAUGGAAAUUGUACCCAUAUGGGAAUAUUUGUACAUGUACUGCAAAUUAAAGGUUUUUAAAAUCUUUUGCAAAUGUUUU